AGACCAGGCUUAGUUUGCUUAGUAAGAAAGGCAAUAUUUUUGUUGAAUUUCACAUUUUCUACCAAGUAACGAAUUAACCUUUUUGAAAUCGCAGAGGAGAUCACAGCAGGAAAUGAAGCCAUAUCCUGUACACGCUGGCUACCACAUAUGAACCAUCAGAGAGAUGGAGGGCAAUGUCUGGAAGAAGGACGGGAAGAGGGAAUAUAAGAACAUUCAGUAUUAAUGGAUUCCAAACUCCGUGUGAUAACCAGCCGGUCCUGGACCAGUUUAUCAUCGCAGUGUGGACUGAUUCUCUUUUGCAGGAAGUUAGUUUUGACUUCACCAGCUGGAUUGGAGGGCACCUGUGGCAUACCUUGUCCUAUUGCUGUGGGGGACUUCGUCCAGCUUUUAGACAUGCAAGACUAAAUGUGAAUACCAUCUAUACCACAGCCUCAAGCCCUGGCCGUCACAGCAAGUUCCUGAUUCUCCUGCUGUGAAGCUGCUGUGAGAGUGAAAAGGCUGUGGGGCAUCUCCAGGCUGAGUGUGAGACGAUGCUCCCACAGACUUACUUCCUGCCAGCCACACCUUGGGGAGAAACAAAAGGAUGCAAUGCCAAGAUGAUAUGAUUGCCUAUAUAGAAAAUCUGAAAGAAUCAACAGAAUAACUGAAACUUUAUAAUAAUUUUAUAGCAAGCAUGCAGGAUACAAGAAACUGAUUUUGCAACAUUGCUAAACUAGCAGACUGGAGAGAUGCUCACAAUUCUCAGAUGAUAUGAGUGUUUCUCUGCAUGGGCAUCAGAGCUGCCACUGCUUGACAUUCCAAGAACUUCCCAGCUACAGGUUCAUCACCUUCUCCUCCCAGGAAAGACAUGUGAGAUUCUGCACAGAGACAGGAAUGUCGUGCCAAAGAGCCUGAAGUCAUGCCAGUGGUGGAGUGCUGAUUGGAACAGACUGGGUUUGGAUGACAUCUCUACUCAUCUGUAAUGGAAGCUGUGUCAAAAUAGGAAAAAUUUUGAAAAACUCUGGUGGCCUUUGGGUGAUGAAGUUAAUGAUAAUUGCCACCUUUUUUCAUGAAGUUUCUUGAACUUUGACAACUUUAGGAACAAUAAUACUGAUAUUGAUAAUAUGUCAUCUUGUUCUCAUGUUCUGUGAUUCUGAAGAAGCAAGAACUGACCACCAUGUACAUCAGCUGGAACCUUUCUGGAAUCCACACAGUGUAAUAAUCCUUAGGAAAAGCUACCUGGGAUUCAGCUGUUACAAUCAGAAGGCCACGAACACUCAACUGGAACCUUUCAUAAUCCCAGUAAAAGGAAA
This is a long non-coding RNA of Homo sapiens (human), 1292 nucleotides long. Lineage: Eukaryota; Metazoa; Chordata; Mammalia; Primates; Hominidae. The record is from Ensembl.